This 319-nucleotide small nuclear RNA is filed under the name Erinaceus europaeus (western European hedgehog). RNAcentral's name for it is "7SK RNA". It matches the Rfam family "7SK RNA", at positions 1 to 248 of the family's 331-position model. Rfam says of the family: 7SK was discovered as an abundant small nuclear RNA in the mid-70s but a possible function has only recently been suggested. Two independent studies have found that 7SK RNA binds the CDK9/cyclin T complex (known as elongation factor P-TEFb). P-TEFb activates transcription by phosphorylating the C-terminal domain of RNA polymerase II. Lineage: Eukaryota; Metazoa; Chordata; Mammalia; Eulipotyphla; Erinaceidae. The record is from Rfam by way of RNAcentral.
GCAUGUGAGGGCGAUCUGGCUGUGACAUCUGUCAGCCCACUGAUUGCCAGGGUUGAUUCGGCUGGUCUGGCUGGCUAGGCGGGUGUCCCCUUCCUCCCUCACCACUCCAUGUGCGUCCCUCCCAAAGCUGUGCGCUCUGUCCAAGAGAAUGGACUUCCCCGAAUAGAGACAGACCUGUCAUCAGUCGAGGGUAAAGGAGUAGCUGCACUCCCCUGCUAGAACCUCCAAACAAGCUCUCUUUUGCAGCCUUUCUUUACCCUUACUCCUUCCCACUUUAGCUAUGAUUUGUCUUGGUGUCUUUAUGCCUGAGUCAAUUCUU